This is a long non-coding RNA of Ipomoea nil (Japanese morning glory), 144 nucleotides long. RefSeq lists it as uncharacterized. Lineage: Eukaryota; Viridiplantae; Streptophyta; Magnoliopsida; Solanales; Convolvulaceae. The record is from RefSeq and is a predicted model, not a curated record. The transcript has 3 exons.
AAAUUGGGCCUAACUUAUUUAAGGGUGUGUUUGGUUGACAGGUUUAGCUCUAAGAAAUGGGUAUCAAAGUGAUUGGUAUUGUUUGGUUGAUAGGUUUUUAGAACACUACUAUGAGUUUCAAAUAUCCCCUUAAUUGAAAUACCC